Molecule: small nucleolar RNA, 70 nt
Organism: Xyrauchen texanus (razorback sucker)
Lineage: Eukaryota; Metazoa; Chordata; Actinopteri; Cypriniformes; Catostomidae
Source: RefSeq, a predicted model, not a curated record
CUUUGAAAUGAUGACUUUAUACCGCCCCAGUCUGAUGUUUUCAUGACUGAUUGGUACACCUCUGAUAACA